Non-coding RNA from Pelobates cultripes (western spadefoot toad), 350 nucleotides. Lineage: Eukaryota; Metazoa; Chordata; Amphibia; Anura; Pelobatidae. The record is from the annotation of a GenBank genome assembly.
CAGAAAGUCAACUAGAUCCACAAAGCUGCUUUGAUUCUGUGGGGACAAUUGGAAAAAUUGUAUGGGAACUCCUACUACCAUAAAUAAAUAAAGAAUAUCACCUAUGCCUAGAUAAUGUUUAUGCUAGUAUACAUUUAUUUAAAGGGACUGCAUAGUCAUUAGAAAAAGGGUUGGUGACCUAAACAGUUAUUUUAGCUGAUGUGAGGAAUACACGUUUGUGAUCUUUUAACCCCUUAAGAACGGCGGGCUUUCUAUGCCGUCCUUUUUUAAGCGGUCCUAAACUUACCGGGUCCCUGCCGUUCCUCCGACUGCAGUCGUGAUCCUGGGGUCUGCCCGAUCCGCUCCCCCCC